Molecule: non-coding RNA, 469 nt
Organism: Poecilia reticulata (guppy)
Lineage: Eukaryota; Metazoa; Chordata; Actinopteri; Cyprinodontiformes; Poeciliidae
Source: RefSeq, a predicted model, not a curated record
GUGACAGACCAACUCUGCUCCUGUUGUCGAGAGCUGGUGCAGUCAUAUCUGUUGGGUGCUCAAAACUGAUCAUAUUUUUGUUCUACUUGCUGAAUGAGUGGAAAGGUUGGGCACUUGCCAGCAACAGCUUUAUAAAUCAGAUGUCCAUUCUCCAGAUUUAGCAAAACCCUGUUGCCCAGAACACAUUCUCCCCUAUCUGCUGACGAGCUGCAAGAAAUCUGAUCCCUCAAGAUCAAGGACGCCUACAUCCCCCAAAACAUCCUUGCUGGCCAUCACAUUGUCCUGAACCUGACCACCAGAAAACAGCUGCCUCCUUACGGUCUGCACUAUUGUCCACGACCCCACCUCCCUGAUCAUCAUCAUCAUCAUCAUCACUGUCACUGCCAGCUUUUUGUUCUUGUGGGAUCAAAAGUAUUUCAAUCUACAACUUGACUUAUUUCUGACCUAAUAUCUAACUUAAAUAUUUUAA